RNAcentral lists this ribosomal RNA (245 nucleotides) under uncultured bacterium. RNAcentral's name for it is "partial small subunit ribosomal RNA". It matches the Rfam family "Bacterial small subunit ribosomal RNA", at positions 26 to 285 of the family's 1533-position model. The record is from RNAcentral.
AGAAUCAACGCUGGCGGCGUGCCUAACACAUGCAAGUCGCACGAGAAAGGGGAGCAAUCCCUGAGUACAGUGGCGCACGGGUGAGUAACACGUGAAUAAUCUACCUCCGAGUGGGGAAUAACUGAGAGAAAUCUUAGCUAAUACCGCAUAACACUUACGAGUCAAAGCAGCAAUGCGCUUGGAGAGGAGUUCGCGGCCGAUUAGUUAGUUGGCGGGGUAACGGCCCACCAAGGCGACGACGGGUA